RNAcentral lists this ribosomal RNA (867 nucleotides) under uncultured archaeon. RNAcentral describes it as "bacterial SSU rRNA". It matches the Rfam family "Archaeal small subunit ribosomal RNA", at positions 1 to 878 of the family's 1478-position model. The record is from RNAcentral.
CUCCGGUGAUCCUGGCCGGACCCGACUGCUAUCAGAGUGGGACUAAGCCAUGCGAGUCAACAUAGCAAUAUGUGGCAUACGGCUCAGUAACACGUAGUCAACAUGCCCAGGGGACGUGGAUAACCUCGGGAAACUGAGGAUAAACCGCGAUAGGUCAUCACUUCUGGAAUGGGUAAUGACUUAAAUCUAUAUGGCCCCUGGAUUGGACUGCGGCCGAUCAGGCUGUUGGUGAGGUAAUGGCCCACCAAACCUGUAACCGGUACGGGCUCUGAGAGGAGGAGCCCGGAGAUGGGCACUGAGACAAGGGCCCAGGCCCUAUGGGGCGCAGCAGGCGCGAAACCUCUGCAAUAGGCGAAAGCUUGACAGGGUUACUCUGAGUGAUUUCCGUUAAGGAGAUCUUUUGGCACCUCUAAAAAUGGUGCAGAAUAAGGGGUGGGCAAGUCUGGUGUCAGCCGCCGCGGUAAUACCAGCACCCCGAGUGGUCGGGACGUUUAUUGGGCCUAAAGCAUCCGUAGCCGGUUCUACAAGUCUUCCGUUAAAUCCACCUGCUUAACAGAUGGGCUGCGGAAGAUACUAUAGAGCUAGGAGGCGGGAGAGGCAAGCGGUACUCGAUGGGUAGGGGUAAAAUCCGUUGAUCCAUUGAAGACCACCAGUGGCGAAGGCGGCUUGCCAGAACGCGCUCGACGGUGAGGGAUGAAAGCUGGGGGAGCAAACCGGAUUAGAUACCCGGGUAGUCCCAGCUGUAAACGAUGCAGACUCGGUGAUGAGUUGGCUUAUUGCUAACUCAGUGCCGCAGGGAAGCCGUUAAGUUUGCCGCCUGGGGCGUACGGUCGCAAGACUGAAACUUAAGGAAUUGGCGGGGGAGCA